CGGGGCGUAGCGCAGUCCGGUAGCGCGUCUGGUUUGGGACCAGAAGGUCCCGGGUUCGAAUCCCGGCGCCCCGA
Molecule: transfer RNA, 74 nt
Filed under: Gemmatimonadetes bacterium 13_1_20CM_69_28
Lineage: Bacteria; Pseudomonadati; Gemmatimonadota
Also listed under: 2 other names
Description: tRNA-Pro
Rfam family: tRNA
About the family: Transfer RNA (tRNA) molecules are approximately 80 nucleotides in length. Their secondary structure includes four short double-helical elements and three loops (D, anti-codon, and T loops).
Source: RNAcentral